AUUGAACGCUGGCGGCAGGCCUAACACAUGCAAGUCGAGCGGAUGAAGGGAGCUUGCUCCUGGAUUCAGCGGCGGACGGGUGAGUAAUGCCUAGGAAUCUGCCUGGUAGUGGGGGAUAACGUCCGGAAACGGGCGCUAAUACCGCAUACGUCCUGAGGGAGAAAGUGGGGGAUCUUCGGAACUCACGCUAUCAGAUGAGCCUAGGUCGGAUUAGCUAGUGGGUGGGGUAAAGGCCUACCAAGGCGACGAUCCGUAACUGGUCUGAGAGGAUGAUCAGUCACACUGGAACUGAGACACGGUCCAGACUCCUACGGGAGGCAGCAGUGGGGAAUAUUGGACAAUGGGCGGAAGCCUGAUCCAGCCAUGCCGCGUGUGUGAAGAAGGUCUUCGGAUUGUAAAGCACUUUAAGUUGGGAGGAAGGGCAGUAAGUUAAUACCUUGCUGUUUUGACGUUACCAACAGAAUAAGCACCGGCUAACUUCGUG
Molecule: ribosomal RNA, 484 nt
Filed under: uncultured bacterium
Lineage: Bacteria
Description: partial 16S ribosomal RNA
Rfam family: Bacterial small subunit ribosomal RNA
Source: RNAcentral